RNAcentral lists this ribosomal RNA (2771 nucleotides) under Cronobacter sakazakii. RNAcentral describes it as "bacterial LSU rRNA". It matches the Rfam family "Bacterial large subunit ribosomal RNA". The record is from RNAcentral. Lineage: Bacteria; Pseudomonadati; Pseudomonadota; Gammaproteobacteria; Enterobacterales; Enterobacteriaceae.
AGCGUACACGGUGGAUGCCCUGGCAGUCAGAGGCGAUGAAGGACGUGCUAAUCUGCGAAAAGCGCCGGUAAGGUGAUAUGAACCGUUAUAACCGGCGAUGUCCGAAUGGGGAAACCCGGUGCACUUCGGUGCAUCAUCGUUAGCUGAAUACAUAGGCUAACGAGGCGAACCGGGGGAACUGAAACAUCUAAGUACCCCGAGGAAAAGAAAUCAACCGAGAUUCCCCCAGUAGCGGCGAGCGAACGGGGAACAGCCCAGAGCCUGAAUCAGCUUGUGUGUCAGUGGAACGGUCUGGAAAGGCCGGCGAUACAGGGUGACAGCCCCGUACACGAAGGCACACAGGCUGUGAGCUCGAUGAGUAGGGCGGGACACGUGAUAUCCUGUCUGAAGAUGGGGGGACCAUCCUCCAAGGCUAAAUACUCCUGACUGACCGAUAGUGAACCAGUACCGUGAGGGAAAGGCGAAAAGAACCCCGGCGAGGGGAGUGAAACAGAACCUGAAACCGUGUACGUACAAGCAGUGGGAGCCUUCGUAAGAGGGUGACUGCGUACCUUUUGUAUAAUGGGUCAGCGACUUAUAUUCUGUAGCAAGGUUAACCGUAUAGGGGAGCCGAAGGGAAACCGAGUCUUAAUUGGGCGUUAAGUUGCAGGGUAUAGACCCGAAACCCGGUGAUCUAGCCAUGGGCAGGUUGAAGGUUGGGUAACACUAACUGGAGGACCGAACCGACUAAUGUUGAAAAAUUAGCGGAUGACCUGUGGCUGGGGGUGAAAGGCCAAUCAAACCGGGAGAUAGCUGGUUCUCCCCGAAAGCUAUUUAGGUAGCGCCUCGUGAAUUCAUCUCCGGGGGUAGAGCACUGUUUCGGCUAGGGGGCCAUCCCGGCUUACCAACCCGAUGCAAACUGCGAAUACCGGAGAAUGUUAUCACGGGAGACACACGGCGGGUGCUAACGUCCGUCGUGAAGAGGGAAACAACCCAGACCGCCAGCUAAGGUCCCAAAGUCAUGGUUAAGUGGGAAACGAUGUGGGAAGGCCCAGACAGCCAGGAUGUUGGCUUAGAAGCAGCCAUCAUUUAAAGAAAGCGUAAUAGCUCACUGGUCGAGUCGGCCUGCGCGGAAGAUGUAACGGGGCUAAACCAUGCACCGAAGCUGCGGCAGCGACACUAUGUGUUGUUGGGUAGGGGAGCGUUCUGUAAGCCUGUGAAGGUGUGCUGUGAGGCAUGCUGGAGGUAUCAGAAGUGCGAAUGCUGACAUAAGUAACGAUAAAGCGGGUGAAAAGCCCGCUCGCCGGAAGACCAAGGGUUCCUGUCCAACGUUAAUCGGGGCAGGGUGAGUCGACCCCUAAGGCGAGGCCGAAAGGCGUAGUCGAUGGGAAACAGGUUAAUAUUCCUGUACUUGGUGUUACUGCGAAGGGGGGACGGAGAAGGCUAUGUCGGCCGGGCGACGGUUGUCCCGGUUUAAGCGUGUAGGCUGACUUUCCAGGCAAAUCCGGAAGGUUAAGGCUGAGGCGUGAUGACGAGGCACCACGGUGCUGAAGUGACAAAUGCCCUGCUUCCAGGAAAAGCCUCUAAGCAUCAGGUAACAUCAAAUCGUACCCCAAACCGACACAGGUGGUCAGGUAGAGAAUACCAAGGCGCUUGAGAGAACUCGGGUGAAGGAACUAGGCAAAAUGGUGCCGUAACUUCGGGAGAAGGCACGCUGACAUGUAGGUGAAGCCCCUGCGGGUGGAGCUGAAGUCAGUCGAAGAUACCAGCUGGCUGCAACUGUUUAUUAAAAACACAGCACUGUGCAAACACGAAAGUGGACGUAUACGGUGUGACGCCUGCCCGGUGCCGGAAGGUUAAUUGAUGGGGUUAUCGCAAGAGAAGCUCCUGAUCGAAGCCCCGGUAAACGGCGGCCGUAACUAUAACGGUCCUAAGGUAGCGAAAUUCCUUGUCGGGUAAGUUCCGACCUGCACGAAUGGCGUAAUGAUGGCCAGGCUGUCUCCACCCGAGACUCAGUGAAAUUGAACUCGCUGUGAAGAUGCAGUGUACCCGCGGCAAGACGGAAAGACCCCGUGAACCUUUACUACAGCUUGACACUGAACAUUGAGCCUUGAUGUGUAGGAUAGGUGGGAGGCUUUGAAGCGUGGACGCCAGUCUGCGUGGAGCCGACCUUGAAAUACCACCCUUUAAUGUUUGAUGUUCUAACCUGGCGCCGUGAUCCGGCGUGGGGACAGUGUCUGGUGGGUAGUUUGACUGGGGCGGUCUCCUCCCAAAGUGUAACGGAGGAGCACGAAGGUCAGCUAAUCCUGGUCGGACAUCAGGAGGUUAGUGCAAUGGCAUAAGCUGGCUUGACUGCGAGAGUGACGGCUCGAGCAGGUGCGAAAGCAGGUCAUAGUGAUCCGGUGGUUCUGUAUGGAAGGGCCAUCGCUCAACGGAUAAAAGGUACUCCGGGGAUAACAGGCUGAUACCGCCCAAGAGUUCAUAUCGACGGCGGUGUUUGGCACCUCGAUGUCGGCUCAUCACAUCCUGGGGCUGAAGUAGGUCCCAAGGGUAUGGCUGUUCGCCAUUUAAAGUGGUACGCGAGCUGGGUUUAGAACGUCGUGAGACAGUUCGGUCCCUAUCUGCCGUGGGCGCUGGAGAAUUGAGGGGGGCUGCUCCCAGUACGAGAGGACCGGAGUGGACGCAUCACUGGUGUUCGGGUUGUCAUGCCAAUGGCACUGCCCGGUAGCUAAAUGCGGAAGAGAUAAGUGCUGAAAGCAUCUAAGCACGAAACUUGCCCCGAGAUGAGUUCU